CCUACGGGUGACAGCAGUGAGGAAUAUUGGUCAAUGGACGAGAGUCUGAACCAGCCAAGUAGCGUGAAGGAUGACUGCCCUAUGGGUUGUAAACUUCUUUUAUAUGGGAAUAAAAUGUUCCACGUGUGGGAUUUUGUAUGUACCAUAUGAAUAAGGAUCGGCUAACUCCGUGCCAGCAGCCGCGGUAAUACGGAGGAUCCGAGCGUUAUCCGGAUUUAUUGGGUUUAAAGGGAGCGUAGGUGGAUUGUUAAGUCAGUUGUGAAAGUUUGCGGCUCAACCGUAAAAUUGCAGUUGAAACUGGCAGUCUUGAGUACAGUAGAGGUGGGCGGAAUUCGUGGUGUAGCGGUGAAAUGCUUAGAUAUCACGAAGAACUCCGAUUGCGAAGGCAGUUCACUGGACUGCAACUGACACUGAGGCUCAAAAGUGUGGGUAUCAAACAGGAUUAGAUACCCGGGUAGUC
RNAcentral lists this ribosomal RNA (460 nucleotides) under uncultured bacterium. RNAcentral's name for it is "partial 16S ribosomal RNA". It matches the Rfam family "Bacterial small subunit ribosomal RNA", at positions 338 to 795 of the family's 1533-position model. The record is from RNAcentral.